RNAcentral lists this long non-coding RNA (262 nucleotides) under Vigna radiata. RNAcentral describes it as "long non-coding RNA (VRAD_LNC009182)". The record is from RNAcentral. Lineage: Eukaryota; Viridiplantae; Streptophyta; Magnoliopsida; Fabales; Fabaceae.
UGAGGUUAAGGUUGAAAUCAAGUUUGGGGGAAGAAAAGAAAAAGAUCAAUAAAAAAAAAUUUGCUCAAAUUGAAAGAUAAGGUUGAGCUGUGAAAGAAAAUGGUAUGUGAGAAAUGAUAAAUUUUGGGAUUUGAGUACUGAAUUGAGAAUUGAAGUUGUUCUCUUCUUAAUAGGUGUCUUUUGAAUCCAAGAAAAACCAUUAUUCUUUUUCUAGCCAAGCCAAGCCUUACCCUGAAAAGACCUUUGGACUUAACCAACAGUG